RNAcentral lists this long non-coding RNA (217 nucleotides) under Capsicum annuum. RNAcentral's name for it is "long non-coding RNA (CANN_LNC011667)". Lineage: Eukaryota; Viridiplantae; Streptophyta; Magnoliopsida; Solanales; Solanaceae. The record is from RNAcentral.
UGAAAUUAAAGUAUAAGAAUUAAACCAUGUCUCCUGUGGUAUAUUCAGUACCUCUCCCAAAUCCUAACAGAUCAGCAGUACACCAUGAUUCAAGUAUACAACCCUCGAUUCCAAUGGUCACAACCAAACAUCACAUCUUCCACCUUCCUAAAUCCGCUUUUACUUGGCAUCGUGAGGUCAACAGUGAACAUUUCAAGGCGAAAUCGCCAGUCGUGCU